Molecule: long non-coding RNA, 4643 nt
Filed under: Triticum aestivum (bread wheat)
Lineage: Eukaryota; Viridiplantae; Streptophyta; Magnoliopsida; Poales; Poaceae
Description: long non-coding RNA (TAES_LNC005763)
Source: RNAcentral
GUAGAUUCAUGUUUUACUAACUUUCUUUGGUAUUUUUGUUUUACUAGAGACGCUAAAACACUAACAUAAAGGGAAGCAAUGGGACACAAACACAUAUAUUACUAUCAUACAAGUAACAAAGGGGAAGAAAUAAUGCUAUGACAGAGACAGAGACAGAAAUGUAUCACAACACAAACAUAUAUAUUUUCACAUGAACGUAAUUAACACAGGGACUACAGAACACACAUAAGCACACAUAUGCGAACAUGGUACUACACCAUGAUUCAGGUUACACAAGUAAACAAAUUAAACAAGCCACUUGACUAGUAUCACAGAUCAACAGAGUAGUAUUGAACUACUAAAAAUAGACAGUAGAAGUAACUAGUACAGGAAGCAAGUACUCUUAGAAUCUGAAUGUACAGACUAGACGUCUCAAACUAUAGAAAAUUCAGAGAAGAAAAGGAGAAAGAGAGAUGGCAGCAGGAGAUUAGAGAAAGAAGAAGCAGGGGCAUGGAGAAGAGGAAGAGCAGCAAAGGAAAGGAGUAGUAGCAGCAGUAUGGUGGCGCUAGGGAGAUGGAGCGCGGUGUGUGCUGGCGGCGGCGUGGAAAUGGAUUGGUGCUAGUGGAUGCUGGUGAUGGCGCGGUGGCGCGUGUGGAGCAGGGGGAGAUGCUGGGUGGCGCACCACCACGCCGGCCUGGCCGUGGCGGCGGCCGAUGGUGGAGAAGAAGGGGAGAGGGAGAGAGAUGAGAUGUAGCCAGGCCCAAAGGGGAUCGGUGGCUAGCGCUAGGGAUUUAAUCCCACGAUCAGAUUUGCCAUUUUUUUGAUUUGGCCCUCCUGCUCCCUUCUUUCUUCGCAAGCACAUCCCUUCCCUUCUCUAGUUUGGCCCUCGGUUUCUUAUUUCCUUCAUGCUCAGGUCCCCCUUCUUUCUUUCCCGUCCUUGUCUUGUAUUCUUUGGCCUCUUAGUCAGAAUCUUGAGGUUUAUAGUGCCUUUGCGCACUUUUCUGCAGAAGAAACAAAUGACGAGUAAAUGAUCUUUUUUAUGAUUAUCAAGCAAUAUUCAAUCAAUCAUGGCAAGAAUGGACGGAUAUAUCACGAUAGAUGCUAAAUUUGUGUGCCAAAUUAUGAAUAGGAAAUGCUCUUAUCAAGUUCCCCCACACUUAAACUUUUGCUUGUCCUCAAGCAAAGGAAUAUGACAAGAGCUAGAUAAUGAACAGUGAGCUGACUGGAGAAUGUCCCAGUGAAGUAGAUCUCCAAACAAAGCAUGCUUUGGACUUAACUAGUGAAAAUCAAUGGUUAAGAGUGCUACAGAGCAAUAGAAUACUAGUAAGCAUGACCAUUUUAAACUUUUACAAUGAUACAAGAGGAUCAACAAGUUUAAAUGAUGACUGUGCCAAAUGGUUCCUAAAGAGAGCAUGAUCCCAAGAACAAAAUGAACUGGAAUUAAAUCUUGUGAUCAAAUAACUUAUUUACAGAGAUAAAGCAAUGAUUAUAUUAUUAUUAGUCUCACCAUAGGAACAUACCACCGAUCCCGAGAACAUGGUAUACACCUGGCUCAACCAAUUUUUAUUAAUUUUUUUUGUUUGUCUCCCCAAAGGAACAUACCACCAAUCCCGAGAACAUGGUAUACACCUGGUUGGACAAUUACAUUUUUAUUAUUAUUAAUUACUGCCCAAGCUAACCCGAUUUCACAUGCCACUGAUCCCGGGAAAAUGACAUGCUACUGUAGGUAGCCAGACUUAUUUAUGCAUUAUUACUUAUCUUAAAUGAACAACGCAUAAGAACAAAAACAGGAAUAAUCACUUCUCCAUGUCUGGUUCACAUGCUACCGAUCCAGGGAACAUAGCAUGCUAAUCCAUAGUGGUAAGGCGAAUGCUCUCAAUGGGAAGACACUUGGCACAAACUCAGCAUCUGACACUUGAUGAUCUAGGUGUAUCAUAGUAAAUGCAGAAAAUGAUUAAGUUUUCUAGUGUACUAGGGAUUUGAGCACUCAAAACUAAUAGCUUUCACUAAUUUCAGCAAAGCAAGCAUUGUAUAAAUCACUAGUUUACCAGGCAUUCAACACUCAGUUCACAUAUUCACAUCAAGCAUCAUAUGUCAAAGGUAAAAUUCAAUGGGACGACAUUUAAGAAAUGGCUUAAGCAACCCAAAUAACAUUUGAUUUCAACAUGUAUCAAUGGAUGAUAUACUCGGAAUGGGUCAUGAAACAGCUCACCGGGCUUUGAUGAUGUAGCACUCGCUCGAUCACCUCACCAACUGCAGCUCCUCUCCUUUUGCUUCCUCAUGCAUGCUCCAGCUUCACUCUUUUUUUCGUAUGUGCCCCUUGCUUCUCCUCAUCCCCAUGCUCUGAGUCCACCAGGAUCCCAUGGGAUGUCAUCUCGAACUUGGUCAGCAUGUAUUGAUUCGUGCACAAGCAAAAGCCUGAAAUAGGACUCACACAAACAACUACAAGUGAUACGGUCGAUGCCCUCCAAGUCAUCAAUGGAAUAUCCAAUUAUAUAGGCAUAACUAUAAAACACAUGUUUAGGAUGGCAGAAAUCAGCAUGGUCAAUACUCACACGAGGAUGACAUUUAUCAUUAAGCUCAAGACUAGCAUAAGAAUGAUAUGUUUCAUUAAGCAUAGGACUAGCACGAGGAAAGUAACUAUGAUCAUCACAAAUGAGAGUAAUGCCACUAACAGGGUAUAUAUCAUCAUAUCCAAGCAAAUGAGUUUUCAAAUCAAUCUUAAGUGAUGGUAUCAUGUAAUGCAAGGUGGAAGCAACAAAAUCAUAAGGGAGCAUGUCAUCAAGAGGAUUGGGAAAACCUGACACAUCACGCUCAUGUAUGAAAAUAGGCCAAUGAAUCUCAGGUUCUUCAUCUUCAUCUACAUCAGCUUCUUUUACUUCUUCAGGAGUAGUAGAUGACGAGUCUUCAACUUGAUCACUUGGGAAUUGCAGAUCUUGAUCAUCUUGUUCCUUGUCUUCUAGUUCAUCUUCUUCAAUCUGAGGUAUCUCUUGCUCAAAGCACUUGCUAUCUUGCUCAGCUAGAUGUGACGGUAUUGGAACCUCACAUGUAUCAAGGGGAAUCUCCGCCACACCCAACUCAAGGAGGGAAGAGAUAGUACUGCCAGCAUUGAUGUUCUUCUCAAUCUUCCUUACUUCUUCCACUAGCUCCUUUCCACUUUUAAUCUUCUUCAUUUCCUCAAGUAUCACCUUCCUAAUGGGAUCAUCCUCGGCACUCCAAGUGAACUCGAGACUCAAAAGUGUGAGCUUGUCUAUGUCAUCGAACUCAUCUUGUGUGGGCACUUGUGUUGGAGGUGUUGGUUGACCAAAUGGAGGACUAUUUAACUCCAUCGGCAACAUCUCCUGGUGCUGAGGUAUAUGAAUAGGAGCUGAAUAAGACUGUUGUGGAUCAUAGUCGUGGCUCUCCUCUUCAUACCUAAAUCCCUGCAUAUGAUUACUAGAAGCAAACGAUGAGAUCUCAGGUUUAUUGCUCCUAUGUGACAUAUUCUGGUUUUCAGGCCACCCAUGUGUGUAAUUGUUUUGGUAUGAGCUAGGCUGUGGGACGAAGCUCAUGCCAUAACAAUCAGGAGGGUGAGAGUAACCACGCUGACAUUCAGCGGGUGAAUGGCCCUGAAAUCCACAAAUAUGGCAUGUAGGAGCAACAUAAGGAUGACCUCUAGAAUAAGGAUCAUAAGAGCUAGGCCUAUCCUCAAAAACUCCUUCUCGCUGCCGAGCUAAAUCAUCUAAUCGAUGGGAAAUCUUACCUAUCAGUUCUUGAACACUUUCCGUGCUGUUUGUAGUGUUGCUCGAAUAAGCCUGAUGAUCCGAAUAGUAAGCCAUAACCGAGAGGAUAAUCCAACCUGCAAAAAGGAAGAGAAAACAAAAAGAUACUAACUAAAACAGGGGUUAGUGGCUAGAGAUAUAUCACAAAUAUAUAGCACAAAGGGAAAAACAAGAAAGACCUAGUCUAAAGCCUCACACAAACGCUCAACGCUAGUCCCCGGCAACGGCGCCAAAAUGAUCAAUUAUAAUAUAGCGGGCUUAUACGCCCCAAACUACGGAUGUCGUGUUCUCCACAGGGACUAGGCAAUCAGCGGCUACGCUCGACUAAAGCUAGGUAAUACAAUUCAGAUGAUGGGAACGGAAAAUAAAGCUAAACUAUGAAGAUUGUCGCCAAUGAAAAUGCAAAAAGGGCAAAGGUAGAUUCAGAUUUUACUAACUUUUCUUGGUAUUUUUGUUUUACUAGAGACGCUAAAACACUAACAUAAAGGGAAGCAAUGGGACACAAACACAUAUAUUACUAUCAUACAAGUAACAAAGGGGAAGAAAGAAUGCAAUGACAGAGACAGAGACAAAAAUAUAUCACAACACAAACAUAUAUAUUUUCACAUGAACGUAAUUAACACAGGGACUACAGAACACACAUAAGCACAAAUAUGCGAACAGGGUACUACACCAUGAUUCAGGUUACACAAGUAAACAAAUUAAACAAGCCACUUGACUAGUAUCACAGAUCAACAGAGUAGUAUUGAACAACUAAAAAUAGAUAGUAGAAGUAACUAGUACAGGAAGCAAGUACUCUUAGAAUCUGAAUGUUACAGACUAGACGUCUCAAACUACAGAAAAUUCAGAGAAGAAAAGGAGAAAGAGAGAUGGCAGCAGGAGAUUAGAGAAAGAAGAAGCAGG